This 301-nucleotide ribosomal RNA is filed under the name uncultured bacterium. Its description in RNAcentral is "partial 16S ribosomal RNA". It matches the Rfam family "Bacterial small subunit ribosomal RNA", at positions 509 to 807 of the family's 1533-position model. The record is from RNAcentral.
CAGCCGCCGCGGUAAUACGGAGGGUGCAAGCGUUAAUCGGAAUUACUGGGCGUAAAGCGUGCGUAGGCGGCUUCUUAAGUCGGAUGUGAAAUCCCUGAGCUUAACUUAGGAAUUGCAUUCGAUACUGGGAAGCUAGAGUAUGGGAGAGGAUGGUAGAAUUCCAGGUGUAGCGGUGAAAUGCGUAGAGAUCUGGAGGAAUACCGAUGGCGAAGGCAGCCAUCUGGCCUAAUGCUGACGCUGAGGUACGAAAGCAUGGGGAGCAAACAGGAUUAGAUACCCCAGUAGUCCCUGUCUCUUAUAC